Molecule: long non-coding RNA, 395 nt
Organism: Nerophis ophidion (straightnose pipefish)
Lineage: Eukaryota; Metazoa; Chordata; Actinopteri; Syngnathiformes; Syngnathidae
Exons: 3
Source: RefSeq, a predicted model, not a curated record
ACCAAGUCAGGACAGGUGGGAAGAAUCAGCACUGCAACAGGAAGCAGGACACAGGGAGAGGAAGCAGCACUGGGAUGGAAGCAAACACUAAACCCAAAAAAAAGCCAAGUCGUCACGCGGGACUCAAGAUCUCUGUGGAUUUUAGGAGACUGAAGAUGGUGGCGGAGGUCAAAGACCAUCUUCUUACAUGUACCACCCAGAGUCUGACCAGCAGUGAGAAAAAAGGGAAGAACAUCAAACAUCAGAAUCGAGGAGAUACAAGCAUAUCAAUGAACAUCCUUAAAAACAGCUGAGCGCUCCUGUAACUCUGACAAAAUGGACCAUAACCAAAUAUCCACUGUAGAGGACACCGGUUCCCUGGAAUAUACAAAAAAAUAUAAUAAAAAAUUGAAUCC